Molecule: ribosomal RNA, 253 nt
Filed under: uncultured bacterium
Lineage: Bacteria
Description: partial 16S ribosomal RNA
Rfam family: Bacterial small subunit ribosomal RNA
Source: RNAcentral
UACGAAGGGGGCUAGCGUUGCUCGGAAUCACUGGGCGUAAAGCGCACGUAGGCGGCUUUCUAAGUCAGGGGUGAAAUCCUGGAGCUCAACUCCAGAGCUGCCUUUGAUACUGGAGAGCUUGAGUCCGGAAGAGGUGAGUGGAACUCCGAGUGUAGAGGUGAAAUUCGUAGAUAUUCGGAAGAACACCAGUGGCGAAGGCGGCUCACUGGUCCGGUACUGACGCUGAGACGCGAAAGCGUGGGGAGCGAACAGG